AGUGAAUUUGCAUUUUUAAUUGUAUUAUAAUUUACCCUCUAUUCGGUAAACAGAUGAGAAAACUAUGUGGUAUAUUAUGGAAUUAGAGUUUUCUGACAGAGGCAUAUAUAUAUUUUGUACUUCGGUUUAAUUAUACAUACCGAAAAGUUUCUAUUCCCUCUCUGCCCGUGAAUAUAUGCAGUCGAUUUUCAAACCACGUAAAUAUUUAUGUACUUUGUUUGCUUCUCUCUUUCUCAAUUCUCUUUUGCUUUUUUGUGCGCCAAACAAAUUAGAUUUUUUUCGCUUUUGUUAUAAACAAAUCAAUAUAAGAGCAAAUCUGGUAACCGAGUAAGUGACGGAUUCAUAAUAAUUUUUAAAAAUAUUCUAGAUCAACUCUGAAAAAUAAUAUGAAAAAUAUAUACAAAGACUAUCUGUAAUAAACUUUACUCUCGUACCGACCGUCCCUAGCGUAAGAGGCAAAAGGGCUUGAUCGUUGGUACCCGAGACCCAAGUUCGAAUUGUAGUUGAUUCACGUUUCCAGCUAAUUAAGUUUAUUUCUAAAUGAAAUAAACGAAACGGGUAGCAUGCUAUCUUUCUCUAAAAAUAAAUAAAUAAAUAAAUUUUAUUCUCAUCAAUUAACUAUAUUAUUUUACAAAUCGAAUUUGAUCUUCAUAAUUGAUUACCUGUCAAAAAUUGGACAAAAGCUGCUUCUCCAUCUCUUUUUGCACCCACUAGUGAUUUGUUUAUGUAAAAGCUAAUCACAUUUAGUACACAUCCACUCCUUUCACUUGAUUAAAGCUGCUCCAUAAAGCAGUCAAAAGCUUUUCCCAAAAGCCAAUUUGUGCAAUUGGAUGUGAGAUGUUGAGGAUUUUGUGUAUCCAUUUGUUUCAAAUUAUCUUCUUGCCAUGUAUUAUAUUCUUAUGUUGUACUGCUUCAUUUAUUUUUGGGCAAACUUCAAUUACCCCUCGUGGUUUCGCACUUUCUUAUUUUAGUAUCCUGUGAUUUAAAGUGUAUCAAUUUAGUACCUUGUGGUUUCACUUUUCUCUUUCCAUCAGCUCCUCCAUUAAUAUUUCAUUAAUUCAGAUAUUCCACCUAGGUUUAUCGAAUAUUCACUUUAGUACCUUUUUAGUUUUAACUUAAUUCGUCACUGAUUUAACGAAAAAAAAUUAGUGGAAGGGAUAAUAAAAAGAGAAAAAUAAAACCACGGGAUACUAAAUCGUUACACUUUAAACCACAGGGUACCAAAGUAAGAAA
RNAcentral lists this long non-coding RNA (1233 nucleotides) under Ananas comosus (pineapple). Its description in RNAcentral is "long non-coding RNA (ACOM_LNC020340)". The record is from RNAcentral. Lineage: Eukaryota; Viridiplantae; Streptophyta; Magnoliopsida; Poales; Bromeliaceae.